AGAAAAUCGCUUGAACCCGAGAGGCAGAGGUUGCAGUGACCUGAGAUUGCGCCACUGCACUCCAACCUGGGUGACAGAA
RNAcentral lists this small nuclear RNA (79 nucleotides) under Homo sapiens (human). RNAcentral describes it as "partial ncRNA". The record is from RNAcentral. Lineage: Eukaryota; Metazoa; Chordata; Mammalia; Primates; Hominidae.